Molecule: long non-coding RNA, 1200 nt
Filed under: Canis lupus familiaris (dog)
Lineage: Eukaryota; Metazoa; Chordata; Mammalia; Carnivora; Canidae
Description: lncRNA (ENSCAFG00030020445.1, ENSCAFG00805018650.1, ENSCAFG00845019131.1)
Source: RNAcentral
AUGAGGAGGACUUUACCCCCUUCUCCCCGGCUCUUCUGGGGCUGCGGAGCACAGUCACAUUUGCCAUCGCCUGUCGGAGACCUUGCAAGCUGUGACAGGGCAUCUGCUCUGAGCCGGAUGCCGUUGAGAAGCAGAACUGGCUGUGAAAACAAGACUUGGGGGGUGGGGGGGAUAGGCUGGAGACCCCAGCGUGGGGCGGGAUUCUGCAGGGCGGGUGGGUCUGGGAGAGGGCCGUGGGGCUCUCCGCAGGCAGGCCAGGCCCGGGAGGAGGCUGCUGGCUCCCCAGGCCCAGGGCCGAACCACUGUCCAGCACGCAGACCUGUUAGGGUAAAUUCCGCGGGCCCCUCGGAGAGAGCUUGGAGCGGGUCCUGCUGUGCCAUUUCUAGACAUCAGCUUCCGCUACUCUGGCUAAGCCGGGCUAGGACUGAUUUCGCAGCCUCCUCGCCUUCUCCGAGGAGCCGCGGGAAGCGGGGAGCCGCGGCCCGGCAGCGGCGGGGCCUGCGGGGUCGGUGGGCCCGGCCCGGUUCCCAGACGCGCAGGUCUCGGCGAUCGGUGGCCCAGGCCAGCUCCCUGCAGAGGGGAGAGCGCUCCCGGCCCGGCCUGCUGCUCAGGCGCCUUUCCUGGCUCCUCUGCUGCGUGUGCCCAAGCAGCCGGGGCCUCAACCGUGGGGUGCGGCUGGGGUUCCCCGGGGCGAGCGGCCCGGUCUGGGAGCCGCAGUCGCCCCCCUUAGGGCCGGAGCCUGCGCUGUCCACGGCUGAGCGCCUGGUCCGGGGAGGGGAGGGCAGCGCGGCCGCCUCGGCCGAGCCGUGCCCAGGUGCAUGCGGGUGCGAGGCUCGGCCCGGGGAGCCUGAUGCUCCACCGCCGCGUCCGGAGCCGCCCCCGACAGGCAGCCUCCAGAAUUGCCCAUCCGUGGGCCAGUCGGGUGCAAGGCUGGGCCAGGGUCAGAGGUCGUGGGGGGAGAGCCCCAGCGCCCCCACCCCCCGCCGGCGGCCGGGCUGGGGCUGCGGCGAGAUGGGGGCUUUCCUUGGGCUCCGCGCCCACCCGUGUCUGCUCCGGGGAGUGGGCCCGGGUCCACGCUCGCUGCCCCUCCUCCUAGCCCCCAGGCCUGGCUGCGCUCCGGGGCUGGAUGGCGUGAAAGUUUCAGCCUCAAUCAGUACAAUCUUCCCUCGGGGUCACGUGAACAAAUAUGCUCGCAUUUGA